RNAcentral lists this long non-coding RNA (1161 nucleotides) under Carassius auratus (goldfish). Its description in RNAcentral is "lncRNA (ENSCARG00000038760.1)". Lineage: Eukaryota; Metazoa; Chordata; Actinopteri; Cypriniformes; Cyprinidae. The record is from RNAcentral.
AUGGCCUCUCUCCCUGCGGGGGAAGAGCCAUCUCUCUCGCUUCGGAAUGGUUUCAGGUGUGUUCCUGAGGCAGGUACAGCGAUUGAGGAGGUGCUGUUAGCAACAGGAGAACAGGUAGGCCAUGAAAACAUUGUUUCUGCAUCUCGCAUGAACAAGGCAGUUGUCGUAUUUUUAAAAAACGAACAACUAGUAAUCAGGAUAAUUGAAAGCAGCAUUUGGGUGAAAGAAACUUUUGUACCCGUUACACCUCUUUUUGCUCCAGCUACAAAAGUGACAAUUUCCAAUGUACCUCCUUUCAUUAAAGAUGACGCGAUCAUGAGAGAAUUGACACGGUUCGGAAAGAUGGCUAGUGCUGUGAAAACGAUUCCUUUGGGUUGUAAAUCUACCGAACUUAAGCACGUAUUGUCUUUUAGACGACAAGCGUUUAUGUUUCUGACAGCGCCUACUAAAACACUGGAUGUUUCGUUUCGAGUGACAUGUGGAGAGAGUUCUUAUAUGGUUUACGCGAGCACUGAUACCUUACAUUGUUUUGAGUGCGGAGUUUUUGGCCACAAGAGAUUGUCUUGCCCUCAUAAACAGCCGCAGGCAGAGGAAACAGCAGGGCCGUCAGGUUUGACGAGCGCGAGUAGCGGAGCGACUGAGGUCAGAGAGCCGCUGAAUGAUGCGGGUGCUCUGAAAGAAGAUGGAGAUGCAGAAAAAGAAAGUGAAGCUGGUGAUAGAGUAGAGGUUGGUGUAAACGCGACUGGAAGUACUGAGGGCAUAAAUGAAGAGGUUUCGUCUAUUGGUUGUAUUGUUACUGGUGCUUUAUGCUUCAAAGACGAUAGAAUGCAAGAAGACAUUACAGGUUCAAAUGAUGAAGCGGAAAAGGAGUCAGAAGACGAGAGUAUUAGAGAUGAUGAUUCAUGCAUUGAUGUAGACGUUGGCAGAUAUGGAGAUUUGUAUACAGUUGAACAGAUAAACUCUUUUCUGGAUGAAACUAAGGGGAGGAGUGUUAAUGUUGAAGAGUUUUUUCCUGACCUAGAGAAAUUUAUCGCAUCCGUAAUGAAAGCUCGUAAAGAAUGUAACGUUGAGAUUUUGUCGCAGCAAAAAAGGUUUAGACUAAAAAAAUAUUUGACAGAAGUCAGACAAAAAAUUCAAAAGAUGAAGGGUAAACGUAGGUCU